AAAACUUUACAAUGCGGGCAACCGUGAUAAGGGAACCUCGAGUGCCUGUAUAUGCAGGCUGUCCAGGUGUCUAAAGCACACCUGAAGAAAGGGCCGGGCAAGACCGGUGCCAGCCGCCGCGGUAAUACCGGCGGCUCGAGUGGUGGCCACUUUUAUUGGGCUUAAAGCGUUCGUAGCUGGGUUGUUAAGUCUCUUGGGAAAUCCGACGGCUCAACCGUCGGGCGUCUAAGGGAUACUGGCAAUCUUGGAACCGGGAGAGGUGAGGGGUACUUCGGGGGUAGGAGUGAAAUCCUGUAAUCCUCGAGGGACCACCUGUGGCGAAGGCGCCUCACCAGAACGGCUUCGACAGUGAGGGACGAAAGCUGGGGGAGCAAACCGG
RNAcentral lists this ribosomal RNA (379 nucleotides) under uncultured archaeon. Its description in RNAcentral is "bacterial SSU rRNA". It matches the Rfam family "Archaeal small subunit ribosomal RNA", at positions 343 to 727 of the family's 1478-position model. The record is from RNAcentral.